Molecule: ribosomal RNA, 440 nt
Filed under: uncultured bacterium
Lineage: Bacteria
Description: partial 16S ribosomal RNA
Rfam family: Bacterial small subunit ribosomal RNA
Source: RNAcentral
CCUACGGGAGGCAGCAGUAGGGAAUAUUGCUCAAUGGGGGAAACCCUGAAGCAGCAACGCCGCGUGGAGGAUGAAGGUUUUAUGAUUUUAAACUCCUUUUUUUAGAGAAGAUAAUGACGGUAUCUCACGAAUAAGCACCGGCUAACUCCGUGCCAGCAGCCGCUGUAAUACGGAGGGUGCAAGCGUUACUCGGAAUCACUGGGCGUUAAGAGUGCGCAGGCGGGCUUGUAAGUAAGAUGUGAAAUCCUGUAGCUUAACUACAGAACUGCAUUUGAUACUAUGAGUCUAGAGUGUGGGAGAGGUAGGUGGAAUGCUUGGUGUAGGGGUAAAAUGCGUAGAUAUCAAGAAGAAUACUGAUUGCGAAGGCGACAUACUGGAACAUUACUGACGCUGAUGCACGAAAGCGUGGGGAGCAAACAGGAUUAGAUACCCCAGUAGUC